This is a long non-coding RNA of Neoarius graeffei (lesser salmon catfish), 1348 nucleotides long. RefSeq lists it as uncharacterized. The transcript is spliced from 3 exons. The record is from RefSeq and is a predicted model, not a curated record. Lineage: Eukaryota; Metazoa; Chordata; Actinopteri; Siluriformes; Ariidae.
GUUAGAGACAGUGGUGGGUCAGGACAUGAAACUCCUUUUGAGACAGCACCAGCAGCCCAUCACCACCUGUGGACAUCAUCUGCAGGGAAAGCAUGCCUGCUUAUCUACUACUGAUCUAUAGGUUAUCUGAAAACUCAAGAACCAAUGGGAAAUAUGUUGAAAAAUAUCUUAAUCCAAAUAUGUUGAGCACAAUCCACAAAAACAUGACAUACACAUUUUUCUAGCACAAGAGUGAACAUGUAGAGCAUAUGUUGUAAAUAAUAAAUACAAAAUUAAGCAUAUGUAAUUUUACUCUCAUUGGUUCUGACGUUUCGGACACCCUGUGCUUACAUAGCUCAUCCUUGACUAUGCAUGCAGUAUUAGGUAAAACCUGGCAUUUAAAGGCAUCAAAAUUGGCAAACAUUUUCAAGUAACUUCAGUCUAUAUAUUGUCUGUAGCUGAAGCUCAUCCUUUUGAAGAUGCCAUCAGGAGAGAUGAGCUGUAAGCGUGCAUGGCAGUUUAUCUCCAGAGUGUACUUCAGAUGAGGAGUGUGCAACUGUAGCGGAGACAGCGAGAUGGAGAAAGUGAGACUUACCACCAUACCUGACAUGUUUAUCUUUAAAGAAAGCUCAUCCAUACUUCUCAACUAACCUUGUUUAUAGGGUGGACUCCAGGGAGGUGACGUAGUGUGGCCACAUAGAACACCUCCACUAAGAGGCGAGUUUGCAACAGGUGCAAUAGCACCUGGAAGGCCUGAAAUUCAGCACGACGGACCCGCAUUUUUGCCAAUAAUCAAGCCAGAGGCAGCUCAUUACGGAGGAAGAUGGGUGUGUCCUUGCUAGGAUUCUGUUCAAGCUGAGGAAAAGAAAUUGCAGAGGGCUGAUAAAGAGUAAGAAAGCAGAGAGCUGGUGUUGAUCUCCCAACCAGAGCGUGUGUGUGUGCGCGAGAUGCCAGCAAUGGCAUAUGUUGUGGGCAGCACGGUGGUGUAGCACUGCACAGGAUAAGCGGUUACAUUGAUGGAUGGAUGGAUUAUUUCAUCAGUUAUUCUCAUAAUGUUAUCAACAAUCCAGUUAAAUUGUGGAAUGAGUAACAGUAAGCUAAUGAAUAUUUUUUACAGAGAUUUCAGUUUUUCAGUUGUACAGUAUAUCUUUCUCUUUCGUAUAUUUCUUCUUCCUUUUUAUUUAGGACAGUUGUUUAAACAGGAUUAUUUUCUCAUGUUAUUUGCCAUUUUCACUUCAUUCUCACAGUCAAGUCUUAAGAGUAUUUAUUGGUCACAAUUCAUAUUACACAUGAAUCGAUACUGAUAUCAUUAAAUAACUUCUAGAUUAUUCUUCAGUGGUCACUCUAAUAUCUCAGAUCUAAUUUUCUU